RNAcentral lists this ribosomal RNA (201 nucleotides) under uncultured bacterium. RNAcentral describes it as "partial 16S ribosomal RNA". It matches the Rfam family "Bacterial small subunit ribosomal RNA", at positions 1302 to 1500 of the family's 1533-position model. The record is from RNAcentral.
AGUCUGCAACUCGACUACAUGAAGCUGGAAUCGCUAGUAAUCGCGGAUCAGAAUGCCGCGGUGAAUACGUUCCCGGGUCUUGUACACACCGCCCGUCACACCAUGGGAGUCAGUAACGCCCGAAGCCGGUGACCCAACCAAACCUGGAGGGAGCCGUCGAAGGCGGGACGGAUGACUGGGGUGAAGUCGUAACAAGGUACC